AUUGAACGCUGGCGGCAGGCCUAACACAUGCAAGUCGAACGAGUGGCGGACGGGUGAGUAACGUCUGUGAAACUGCCUGAUGGAUGGGGAUAACUCCUGGAAACGGUAGCUAAUACCGCAAACCAUCAGAUGUGCCCAGAUGGGAUUAGCUAGUUGGUGGGGUAACGGCUCACCAAGGCGACGAGCCCUAGCUGGUCUGAGAGGUUGACCGGCCACACUGGAACUGAGACACGGUCCAGACUCCUACGGGAGGCAGCAGUGGGGAAUAUUGCGCAAUGGGCGCAAGCCUGAUGCAGCCAUGCCGCGUGUAUGAAGAAGGCCUUCGGGUUGUAAAGUACUUUCAGCGGGGAGGCGUUACCCGCAGAAGAAGCACCGGCUAACUCCGUGCCAGCAGCCGCGGUAAUUC
Molecule: ribosomal RNA, 406 nt
Filed under: uncultured bacterium
Lineage: Bacteria
Description: partial 16S ribosomal RNA
Rfam family: Bacterial small subunit ribosomal RNA
Source: RNAcentral